GCCGAACCGUCCAAACGUUAUUCGGAAUUACUGGGCUUAAAGGGUGCGUAGGCGGCGCGGAAAGUUGGGUGUGAAAUCCCUCGGCUCAACCGAGGAACUGCGCCCAAUACUACCGUGCUUGAGGGAGAUAGAGGUGAGCGGAACUUAGGGUGGAGCGGUGAAAUGCGUUGAUAUCCUAAGGAACACCGGUGGCGAAAGCGGCUCACUGGAUCUCUUCUGACGCUGAGGCACGAAAGCUAGGGUAGCGAACGGG
RNAcentral lists this ribosomal RNA (253 nucleotides) under uncultured bacterium. Its description in RNAcentral is "partial 16S ribosomal RNA". It matches the Rfam family "Bacterial small subunit ribosomal RNA", at positions 524 to 776 of the family's 1533-position model. The record is from RNAcentral.